GGGCGAGUGGCUUAGUCCGGAUAGAGCGUUAGCCUCCUAAGCUAAUGGUCGGGGGUUCAAAUCCCCCCUCGCCCG
The sequence is a transfer RNA, 75 nucleotides long. It matches the Rfam family "tRNA". Rfam says of the family: Transfer RNA (tRNA) molecules are approximately 80 nucleotides in length. Their secondary structure includes four short double-helical elements and three loops (D, anti-codon, and T loops). The record is from Rfam.